UUGUUUCAGGUUUUGGAUGAUGCUUUUCUCUAUCAAUAUUGAUGGCUUUGACUAAUCCUCCUCCAGCGUUCUCAUGGGUUUUGGAUGAUGAUUUUAUUAAUCAGUGAUGGCUUUGACUACUCUUCUUCAGGCGUUCUCAUGGGUUCCAAUUGGAAUGGAGUAUACUACUCACAACUAUAAGCUUGUGGACCAGGUUUUGGAUGAUGUUUUAUAUCAAUCAGUGACGGCUUUGAUGGAAACGCUCCUUCUCUAUGCAACGACUUCACUCUUCAGGGGUGUUUUGGAAGCAAAUUAUUGAUCUGAUCAUUACCUUCUUCUACAUGCUGCUACGUCUUCAGGCAUUCUCACGGAUUUGUGGAGGAGGAUUCUACGAUUGUUCGGUGAUGGCUUUGACGGAUCCUUGUCACUCUCAUUCAUGUUAUUCUUCUAGGAUUGUGGAGGAGGAUGCUUUGAUGGAUCUUUUUUUCUUCUCUGCGCUACAUCUUCAGAUCGUUGAGGCACCUGGAUUGUUGUGUGGGAGGCUCAAAGAGAGAACAUUGUGGGAGUUUAAUUUUCAGAUUGUGGAGACACCGGGACGGAUUUGAUAAAUCUUAGCAUAAUAUUUAUCUCUCUCUCAUGCAGAUCGUAGAGGCACCGGGAAUGAUAUGAUAAAUCUUUCUUCUGGUUCAAGGCCGUGUUGGUGAGUGAGGUUUCAAGUAAUGUGCUCAUCUUCCUAGUGACGCUGACAUCUAUGCUUUAAGUCGAAGGCCUUGUCUUUUGUUAUAGAUAGGCGAGGUUUUUUAUAAGAGAAAAGCAUCAGGGAUGAUUCAGUGUUUGAUCCCAAUUACAUAUGCUUGUGAUGAUAGCUUCUUCCCUUCAUUAUAGUUCUGUUGACGAUGCAAAAGAGGCAUGCUCCUUUUUGGUUGGCAUCGUGGGAUGUUUGGUUACUUCUAUAUUUCAUGGAGAUGUGAUCAGCUUAAGUGUGCUUUGGACCUUGGGCCCAUUUUGUUUAUAUUCCACGGCCCAUUUAGAAUUUAAUAUUUUAUUGUUUCAGUUUGUUACUUCGAUUCGAUCAUAUUCACUUCUUUUUCUCUUAAAAUUUUAUUUUCUUAUUUUGU
Molecule: non-coding RNA, 1097 nt
Organism: Camelina sativa (false flax)
Lineage: Eukaryota; Viridiplantae; Streptophyta; Magnoliopsida; Brassicales; Brassicaceae
Source: RefSeq, a predicted model, not a curated record